This 253-nucleotide ribosomal RNA is filed under the name uncultured bacterium. RNAcentral describes it as "partial 16S ribosomal RNA". It matches the Rfam family "Bacterial small subunit ribosomal RNA", at positions 524 to 776 of the family's 1533-position model. The record is from RNAcentral.
UACGUAGGGGGCUAGCGUUGUCCGGAAUCAUUGGGCGUAAAGCGCGUGUAGGCGGUUCGGUAAGUCCGCUGUGAAAGUCGGGGGCUCAACCCUCGGAUGCCGGUGGAUACUGUCGGGCUUGAGUACGGAAGAGGCGAGUGGAAUUCCUGGUGUAGCGGUGAAAUGCGCAGAUAUCAGGAAGAACACCUGUGGCUAAGGCGGCUCUCUAGUACGGUACUGACGCUGAGACGCGAAAGCGUGGGGAGCGAACAGG